RNAcentral lists this ribosomal RNA (460 nucleotides) under uncultured bacterium. RNAcentral describes it as "partial 16S ribosomal RNA". It matches the Rfam family "Bacterial small subunit ribosomal RNA", at positions 338 to 795 of the family's 1533-position model. The record is from RNAcentral.
CCUACGGGAGGCAGCAGUGAGGAAUAUUGGUCAAUGGGCGAGAGUCUGAACCAGCCAAGUAGCGUGAAGGAUGACUGCCCUACGGGUUGUAAACUUCUUUUAUAAGGGAAUAAAGUUAAGCACGUGUACCGUUUUGUAUGUACUUUAUGAAUAAGGAUCGGCUAACUCCGUGCCAGCAGCCGCGGUAAUACGGAGGAUCCGAGCGUUAUCCGGAUUUAUUGGGUUUAAAGGGAGCGUAGAUGGGUUGUUAAGUCAGUUGUGAAAGUUUGCGGCUCAACCGUAAAAUUGCAAUUGAUACUGGCAGUCUUGAGUACAGUUGAGGUAGGCGGAAUUCGUGGUGUAGCGGUGAAAUGCUUAGAUAUCACGAAGAACUCCGAUUGCGAAGGCAGCUUACUAAACUGCCACUGACAUUGAUGCUCGAAAGUGUGGGUAUCAAACAGGAUGAGAUACCCCGGUAGUC